GACGAACGCUGGCGGCGUGCCUAAUACAUGCAAGUAGAACGCACAGUUUAUACCGUAGCUUGCUACACCAUAGACUGUGAGUUGCGAACGGGUGAGUAACGCGUAGGUAACCUGCCUGGUAGCGGGGGAUAACUAUUGGAAACGAUAGCUAAUACCGCAUAAUAUUAAUUAUUGCAUGAUAAUUAAUUGAAAGGUGCAAUUGCACCACUACCAGAUGGACCUGCGUUGUAUUAGCUAGUAGGUGAGGUAACGGCUCACCUAGGCGACGAUACAUAGCCGACCUGAGAGGGUGAUCGGCCACACUGGGACUGAGACACGGCCCAGACUCCUACGGGAGGCAGCAGUAGGGAAUCUUCGGCAAUGGACGAAAGUCUGACCGAGCAACACCGCGUGAGUGAAGAAGGUUUUCGGAUCGUAAAGCUCUGUUGUAAGAGAAGAACGGGUGUGAGAGUGGAAAGUUCACACUGUGACGGUAUCUUACCAGAAAGGGACGGCUAACUACGUG
RNAcentral lists this ribosomal RNA (505 nucleotides) under uncultured bacterium. RNAcentral's name for it is "partial 16S ribosomal RNA". It matches the Rfam family "Bacterial small subunit ribosomal RNA", at positions 28 to 507 of the family's 1533-position model. The record is from RNAcentral.